CCUACGGGAGGCAGCAGUGGGGAAUAUUGGGCAAUGGAGGAAACUCUGACCCAGCGACGCCGCGUGAGGGAUGAAGGCCUUCGGGUUGUAAACCUCUUUCAGUAGGGAAGAAGCGAAAGUGACGGUACCUACAGAAGAAGCACCGGCUAACUAUGUGCCAGCAGCCGCGGUAAUACAUAGGGUGCAAGCGUUGUCCGGAAUUAUUGGGCGUAAAGAGCUCGUAGGUGGUUCGAUACGUCGGAUGUGAAAAUCAGGGGCUCAACCCCUGACCUGCAUCCGAUACGGUCGAGCUAGAGUUUGGUAGGGGAGACUGGAAUUCCUGGUGUAGCGGUGGAAUGCGCAGAUAUCAGGAGGAACACCGAUGGCGAAGGCAGGUCUCUGGGCCAAUACUGACACUGAGGAGCGAAAGCGUGGGGAGCGAACAGGAUUAGAUACCCUGGUAGUCCACGCCGUAAACGGUGGGCGCUAGUUGUGCGAACCUUCCACGGUUUGUGCGACGCAGCUAACGCAUUAAGCGCCCCGCCUGGGGAGUACGAUCGCAAGAAUUAAAACUACAAAUGAAUUGACGGCUGAGACGNGCGACGACGACGACGAGGAGGAGG
Molecule: ribosomal RNA, 602 nt
Filed under: uncultured bacterium
Lineage: Bacteria
Description: bacterial SSU rRNA
Rfam family: Bacterial small subunit ribosomal RNA
Source: RNAcentral